RNAcentral lists this ribosomal RNA (1809 nucleotides) under Vibrio cholerae. RNAcentral's name for it is "partial 23S ribosomal RNA". It matches the Rfam family "Bacterial large subunit ribosomal RNA", at positions 413 to 2213 of the family's 2925-position model. Lineage: Bacteria; Pseudomonadati; Pseudomonadota; Gammaproteobacteria; Vibrionales; Vibrionaceae. The record is from RNAcentral.
UAGGGCGGGACACGUGAUAUCCUGUCUGAAUAUGGGGGGACCAUCCUCCAAGGCUAAAUACUCCUGACUGACCGAUAGUGAACCAGUACCGUGAGGGAAAGGCGAAAAGAACCCCUGUGAGGGGAGUGAAAUAGAACCUGAAACCGUGUACGUACAAGCAGUAGGAGCACCUUCGUGGUGUGACUGCGUACCUUUUGUAUAAUGGGUCAGCGACUUAUAUUCAGUGGCAAGGUUAACCGUAUAGGGGAGCCGUAGCGAAAGCGAGUCUUAACUGGGCGCUCAGUCUCUGGAUAUAGACCCGAAACCGGGUGAUCUAGCCAUGGGCAGGUUGAAGGUUGAGUAACAUCAACUGGAGGACCGAACCGACUAAUGUUGAAAAAUUAGCGGAUGACUUGUGGCUAGGGGUGAAAGGCCAAUCAAACUCGGAGAUAGCUGGUUCUCCCCGAAAGCUAUUUAGGUAGCGCCUCGGACGAAUACUACUGGGGGUAGAGCACUGUUAAGGCUAGGGGGUCAUCCCGACUUACCAACCCUUUGCAAACUCCGAAUACCAGUAAGUACUAUCCGGGAGACACACGGCGGGUGCUAACGUCCGUCGUGGAGAGGGAAACAACCCAGACCGCCAGCUAAGGUCCCAAAGUAUUGCUAAGUGGGAAACGAUGUGGGAAGGCUCAGACAGCUAGGAUGUUGGCUUAGAAGCAGCCAUCAUUUAAAGAAAGCGUAAUAGCUCACUAGUCGAGUCGGCCUGCGCGGAAGAUGUAACGGGGCUAAGCAAUACACCGAAGCUGCGGCAAUGUCUUUUAGACAUUGGGUAGGGGAGCGUUCUGUAAGCCGUUGAAGGUGAAUCGUAAGGUUUGCUGGAGGUAUCAGAAGUGCGAAUGCUGACAUGAGUAACGACAAAGGGGGUGAAAAACCUCCUCGCCGGAAGACCAAGGGUUCCUGUCCAACGUUAAUCGGGGCAGGGUGAGUCGACCCCUAAGGUGAGGCCGAAAGGCGUAAUCGAUGGGAAACGGGUUAAUAUUCCCGUACUUCUGACUAUUGCGAUGGGGGGACGGAGAAGGCUAGGUGGGCCAGGCGACGGUUGUCCUGGUUCAAGUGCGUAGGCUUGAGAGUUAGGUAAAUCCGGCUCUCUCUAAGGCUGAGACACGACGUCGAGCUACUACGGUAGUGAAGUCAUUGAUGCCAUGCUUCCAGGAAAAGCCUCUAAGCUUCAGAUAGUCAGGAAUCGUACCCCAAACCGACACAGGUGGUCGGGUAGAGAAUACCAAGGCGCUUGAGAGAACUCGGGUGAAGGAACUAGGCAAAAUGGUACCGUAACUUCGGGAGAAGGUACGCUCUUGAUGGUGAAGUCCCUCGCGGAUGGAGCUGACGAGAGUCGCAGAUACCAGGUGGCUGCAACUGUUUAUUAAAAACACAGCACUGUGCAAAAUCGCAAGAUGACGUAUACGGUGUGACGCCUGCCCGGUGCCGGAAGGUUAAUUGAUGGGGUUAGCGCAAGCGAAGCUCUUGAUCGAAGCCCCGGUAAACGGCGGCCGUAACUAUAACGGUCCUAAGGUAGCGAAAUUCCUUGUCGGGUAAGUUCCGACCUGCACGAAUGGCGUAAUGAUGGCCACGCUGUCUCCACCCGAGACUCAGUGAAAUUGAAAUCGCUGUGAAGAUGCAGUGUACCCGCGGCUAGACGGAAAGACCCCGUGAACCUUUACUACAGCUUGGCACUGAACAUUGAACCUACAUGUGUAGGAUAGGUGGGAGGCUAUGAAGACGUGACGCCAGUUGCGUUGGAGCCGUCCUUGAAAUACCACCCUUGUAUGU